CAGCAGCCGCGGGAAUACGAAGGGUGCAAGCGUUACUCGGAAUUACUGGGCGUAAAGCGUGCGUAGGUGGUGGUUUAAGUCCGUUGUGAAAGCCCUGGGCUCAACCUGGGAAUUGCAGUGGAUACUGGGUCACUAGAGUGUGGUAGAGGAUAGUGGAAUUUCCGGUGUAGCAGUGAAAUGCGUAGAGAUCGGGAGGAACAUCAGUGGCGAAGGCGGCCAUCUGGGACAACACUGACGCUGAGGCACGAAAGCGUGGGGAGCAAACAGGAUUAGAUACCCGCGUAGUCCCUGUCUCUUAUAC
Molecule: ribosomal RNA, 301 nt
Filed under: uncultured bacterium
Lineage: Bacteria
Description: partial 16S ribosomal RNA
Rfam family: Bacterial small subunit ribosomal RNA
Source: RNAcentral